Dermacentor andersoni is the source of this 253-nucleotide non-coding RNA. Lineage: Eukaryota; Metazoa; Arthropoda; Arachnida; Ixodida; Ixodidae. The record is from RefSeq and is a predicted model, not a curated record.
AUGUAAGCCUGAAAGCUAGGUUUCAGUCGUGAGCCAUGUGAAACACGUCUGCAUCGAAAUGGGAGCCGGAUCCUGCUGCAACUGGGGACAGCAAUACCGACAUGCAGUAAUGAGGAUGGCACCAGUAUAAAGCAACACACUCCAUGCACUAAACAGAAGCUGCUGCCUGCUACAACAAGGUCAUUGUGUGGACUUUGGCUGCUACUACAAGAGUCUGUGCCAAGUACAUCUUGGUCAUCACGGGAGCCCCCAU